GGAAUAGAAUGAUAGAUCAUUGGGUGUGAUGAGAAUUGAGAUACGUAGUUGAAGGGAUUUGGAAAGGCUCAAAUCUUAAAAUCUAGAGAGGGAUUUCUCUCUCUCAAUCAAUUUCUCUCUCUAAAUAUGAUGAUGACGAUGAUGAUGCAAAGUGCAAACCCUCUUCUAAGUCUUACCUUUCUCCAAUAAAUAUAUAGUAACUCUAGUCUUACAAUGAAAACAAUAAACCCUUCUAGCCCUUGUCCUCCUCUUCCUCUGUUUCUCUCUGUUAUUCCACUAAAAGGGGAGUAAUCUGUCUCUCUCUUGUCGCCUUCUUCCUCAAUUUUUUUUUCAGUUUCCUUUUUACGGGUAGGAUAAGAUCGGCAUUUUCCAUGGUGGACGACGGGGAAGCUCCGCCGGACCAUCUCCGUUGCCGGAGGAGUGACGGUAGAGAUUGGAGGUGUUUGAUGCCAGUCAUGGAAAACAGAAGCGUCUGUGAGUUUCACUUCCAUCAGGCUCGCUUGCGUCAGUCCAAGAAGAAGGUUCCUCCUUCUAUGAAGCUCAAGAGGAACACCCUCCGGGAGAAAGCCGCCGAAGUUUCGUUCGCGGUCGCCGGAAGGAAAGGUUUUAAUUUUCAGAAUCUUGGAAUUCAGCCGAAGGGUAAGGCGAAUUUGGCGAAAGUGUUGAAGAGGACGCGUGCAGUUCGGGUGGCGGACUCUCUGAUAAAGAUUUUGAAGAAGAUGAAGUCGAAAAAGGGUGACUUGCAGUUGGAAUUGAUAAGGGUUUUUCUGCGGAGGCAAAUGGAGAGGAAAAAGAAGCGAACUUCCGAGGGAAGUAACAAUGGGAGAGAGUUUAUGAGGGACCUGCCCAAUGGACUGAUGGCCAUUUCCCCUGCUCCCGUCAGGGAUUUUGGCAAUGCUGUUUUGUCUUUCGAUGGAAAACUAGGGCUUGAUUCUUAUGCUUCUUUUACACGACGCUGCUUCCGGUCCAAGAACAUUGAGCCUCUACCAGUUGGUCCGUUACAGAUUCUUCCUUGCGGGAGAAGCAUAUUGAAUUCGAGGAGAGGUGGGAAAAAGAUUUGCCAUCGGUGCCGAAGAAGUAAUGCUGAGAACCUUAUUCAUUGUUUGAAUUGCCGAAGAGAGUCUUUCUGCAUAGAUUGCAUUCGUGAAUGGUAUUCUGAAUUGCCACUUGAAGAAGUUAAGAUGGCUUGCCCCGUUUGUCGUUGCUCGUGCAACUGUAAGAUGUGCUUGAAUAAUCAGCCAAAAGAGAUUGCAUUGAAGUGUUUUUUGGAAGGUGAAGAUAAGGUUACCAAAAUCCUACAUUUUCAUUAUUUGGUCUGUCUGCUUCUUCCAGUUCUGAAACAAAUCAACCAGGAACAUAGGAUUGAGUUGGAAAUAGAGGCAAAACUUAAAGGAAAAACAACAGCCGACAUUGAGAUUCUGCAGGCAAAAUGUGGUAAUGAUGAGCAGCUUUGCUGUGAUAACUGCAAAUCUUCCAUCUUGGAUUUCCAUAGAAGCUGUUCAAAUUGUUCCUAUGAUCUCUGCCUUAGUUGUUGUCGAGAUAUACGUCAAGGCACCUUACCUGGAGGAAUUGGAGAAGUCCGGUUUGAAAGGAAAGCUUGUGCAUCUACUGGUGAGCUUCUUCCAGCAAUGAGGCAGAUAGGCUCUGUCAUGAAAAGCUCUGGUAGUGCAGUAUUAGCUUCUUCUGCAACACUUCCAGACUGGAAAUAUAGUGGUGACAGCUGUAUUUCUUGCCCACCCAAGGAGCUUGGUGGUUGUGGUGAAAGCCUCUUGGACUUGAGAAGGGUUUUCCCAUUAAAUUGGACUGAAGAACUGGAAAUAAAUGCUGAAGAAAUAGCCUGCAGUUAUGACUUUCCAGAAACUAUAGAUGUUUCACCACACUGCUCCUUAUGUAGUCUCAUGCAUGAUAAAGCUGGGGGACUUGAUGAGAAGUUGCAAGAAGCAGCUGCCAGAGUCGAUUCUGAUGAUAACUUCUUGUACUGUCCAACUGUGGAGGAUCUUCAGCAUGAAAGCCUGGAACAUUUCCAAAAACAUUUAAGUAAAGGUCAGCCGGUAAUAGUUCGUAAUGUGCUCCAGAAUACAUCAAACUUGAGCUGGGAUCCUGUGGUCAUGUUCCACAGUUUUCUUGAAAGGAGCAGCGCGAAACCUGGGAAUGAUAUCAAGACUGUGAAAGCCACUGAUUGCUUGGAUUGGUGUGAGGUAGAAAUUGGGAUCCAGCAAUUUUUUAAUGGUUAUAUGGAGGGGCGGACACAUGCCAAUCUUUGGCCUGAGAUGCUGAAAUUGAAGGAUUGGCCUUCUCCUGAUCUGUUUCAGGAACAGUUUCCUGCUCAUAAUGCUGAAUUCAUCCGUGCUUUACCAUUUCAAGAAUAUACAAAUCCUAACUCUGGUAUUCUGAAUCUUGCUGGCAAGUUGCCCAAGGAAUUCUCAAAGCCUGACCUGGGUCCCCGUGUAUAUAUUUCAUAUGGGAUAGCUGAGGAGCUUGGGCGGGGUGAUUCUGUAACUAAACUCUAUAUUGAUUCGUCUGAUAUGGUGAAUAUUCUGGCACACACAACAGAAGUAGCAAUUCCUCCAUUACAGGUAACUAAGAUACAGGAAUUAAAGAAAAAGCACAAAGCUCAAGAUAAGAAGAGGUCUCUCGGGAGUUCGAUGGAUCAGAGUACAAUAAAUGAUGUGAAAUGGAGGCCGUCUUUGUCUUGUGAAAGCGAAGAAGAAGCAGGCUGUAGCGAGAUGCUGGACGAUAAUGGAGGUACAUAUUUACCCAAGGGAGAAGCUGGAGUCUCAAAUUUACAUGCUGUCACAACUACACCUGAAGAAUGUGAUUGUAGCGUCAAAGUUGAGAAUAUCUCGGAUGUCGAAGAGUCCAACUCUGAUUCUGAUGCCUCAAAAGAUUGCUAUAGAAAUACUCGGAGCUUUGAAAAAUCUGAAGAUGAAGCAAUUUCUUUUCAGGAAGAAACAAGAGAACAUGUAUCAAAACUAGUGUCUGAUUCCUGUGGUGCCCAGUGGGAUGUGUUCCGUAGAGAAGAUGUUCCAAAGCUGCAAGAAUACCUAAGAAGGCACUUCAAUGAGUUCAGACAUACAUAUUGCUUUCCAGUUGAACAUGUUGCUCAUCCUAUUCUUGAUCAGAGCUUCUUUCUUGAUACAACCCAUAAAAGAAGGCUUAAGGAGGAGUUUGAAGUCGAACCUUGGACUUUUGAUCAGCAUCUUGGAGAAGCAAUCAUCAUUCCUGCGGGAUGCCCAUAUCAAAUUCGGAAUAUUAAGUCUUGCAUAAAUGUGGCUUUGGACUUUGUGUCACCUGAGAAUGUCCAAGAGUGUAUCCAGCUGGUUGAUGAACUCCGUCUACUUCCAAAGAACCACAAAGCUAAAGAAGACAAGCUAGAGGUGAAGAAAAUGAGUGUCUAUGGUAUUAGUGCAGCAGUUAAAGAAAUCCGGGAGCUGACAUCAGGUGCACUAUAAGUCGUCUCAAGCUUGGAGCUCCAAGUAAUAUGUAAUGCAAAACCCUAGGUGGAUUUCCUCUUCUACAGUCUUCUUCUCUUCUUCUUUCUGAGAGUUGCCGUUCUGUUCAUGCUUCCAUAGCAUGAUUGGUUCCAAAUGCAAAAGAAGAUGAGUUAUGGAGGAAAGAUGUUUGACAGAAAAACUUACACUCGUAUCUAUUCCCCUCGUGUUGCUAGAGAACUUGAUUGUCUUACAUGUUAAAUUGAAGUUUUGUGGACCCAUUACUCAUGUGAUUGGCACAUCUAUGAGGUUGCCUUUCGGAGGAGGUUGGCAAGGUCUCAAGGGAGGAUAGUCUCGGCAUAUCCUCAUUUCAGUUUUUCCCCUGCCAUGCAAAAAUUUUGUUCCGGUUGUGAAUUCUGCGGCUUUAUUCUUAUAGCU
Molecule: RNA transcript, 3869 nt
Organism: Macadamia integrifolia
Lineage: Eukaryota; Viridiplantae; Streptophyta; Magnoliopsida; Proteales; Proteaceae
Gene name: lysine-specific demethylase JMJ25-like
Exons: 14
Source: RefSeq, a predicted model, not a curated record